Molecule: ribosomal RNA, 493 nt
Filed under: uncultured bacterium
Lineage: Bacteria
Description: bacterial SSU rRNA
Rfam family: Bacterial small subunit ribosomal RNA
Source: RNAcentral
UGAGGUCCCGAAAAGCGUUGGGGAGCGAACAGGGAUUUAGAUACCCCUGGUAGUCCCACGCCCGUAAACCGAUGGACACUAGGUACCAGGGAGUAUCAACCCCUUUUCUGUGCCGUAGUUAACCGCAUUAAGUGUCCCCGCCUGGGGAGUACGGUCGCAAGGCUAAAACUCCAAAGGAAUUGACGGGGGCCCGCACAAGCCAGCCGGAGGCGUGUGGUUUAAUUUCGAUGCAACACGAAGAACCUUACCCAGGGCUUGACAUGUCGGAAGUAGCGACCCGAAAGGUGAGCGACCUGUUAAGUCCAGGAGCCGUCACAGGUGCUGCAUGGCUGUCGUCAGCUCGUGCCCGUGAGGUGUUAGGUUAAGUCCCUGCAACGAGCGCAACCCCUGUUGUCAGUUGAUUUCUCUGGCAAGACUGCCUCGAAAACGAGGAGGAAGGUGGGGAUGACGUCAAGUCAGCAUGGCCCUUAACGUCCUGGGCUACACACACGCU